GAUGAAGAACGUAGCGAAAUGCGAUAAGUAAUGUGAAUUGCAGAAUUCAGUGAAUCAUCGAAUCUUUGAACGCACCUUGCGCCUUUUGGUAUUCCGAAAGGCACACCUGUUUGAGCGUCAUGAAUACCCCAAUCUCCAUCUUUUCUUCGGAUUGAUGGGUGACUUGGAUGUUGAGCCCUGCUGGUAUGCUAUAUCAGCUGGCUUUAAACUUAUUAGCCGGCUCUGUACUGGAUCGGUUUGACUCGACGUGAUAAUAUUAUCGUUGAGGAUGCAUGUCUCAUGCAGCCGGAAAGUAUCAAAGCAGCUUCUAGCUUGCCUUUAGUGCACUUUUACAUUUUAGACCUCAGAUCAGGUGGGACUACCCGCUGAACUUAAGCAUAUCAAUAAGCGGAGGA
This 395-nucleotide unclassified non-coding RNA is filed under the name soil metagenome. RNAcentral's name for it is "partial contains 5.8S ribosomal RNA, internal transcribed spacer 2, and large subunit ribosomal RNA". The stretch from base 1 to 120 matches the Rfam family "5.8S ribosomal RNA", at positions 35 to 154 of the family's 154-position model. The record is from RNAcentral.